Prunus mume (Japanese apricot) is the source of this 1944-nucleotide RNA transcript. RefSeq lists it as uncharacterized. The record is from RefSeq and is a predicted model, not a curated record. Lineage: Eukaryota; Viridiplantae; Streptophyta; Magnoliopsida; Rosales; Rosaceae.
CCACAGCUAUAUGCUUUAGGGGCUGGAACAUGGAAUUUUGAAGACAGUGUGGGAACUUACCAAAAUAAGUCAAAGUUGGAAGAAUGGAUGCUGAAUUAUGCCAUGUACUCUGUACCAAUUCUCGGCAGGUAAAAAGAUAUAUAGAUAUUUAUUCAGCUUCAUCUAUUAUUGGAUUUUCCAAUGAGGACUUGUUGCACAUAGCAAGCAUGUAUGCUAAAGCAGAGGAAAAAUGGAUACAUACUACACAGAAGUUGCUGUUACAUAAAAAGGAAAGCCACAAUGAGUUAUUGCCUGCUCUAAGGAGGCAAAUUGAUUUGUAUUCUGAAUUCCUAGCAAGUGUUGCUGAACUUGCCCGCUCCAAAUGGACUGAGUUUAAUUUAAAGAUGAUGGGUACUGGACUUGGCAUUAUGUUGAUAUCAAUUCUUAUCCACUUCCUUGCAAUUAAGAACGUGAAGGAGUAAUACGGUUUUUCUUUUACUUCAUCUGGAGAUUCUGGGAUUUCCUUCGGGUUGAUUUUUUCUUGUUUUAUGGUGGUCAUACGUGCAUGCAGCUUCCUCUUGAAUAGUUUCAUCUUGGAAGAAGGAAAAGUGGCGUGCUUUCUUUUGGCCACAACUGCACUAGUUAAGAUGCGAUAUUCAAUCAUGAAGAAGAAGAUGAUAUUAGAAGCAUUUGUUUUCCUUCUUCUGAUCACCAUUUGCAGAUUUACUAUUGAAGUUGGAUUGUCGAAGCAGGCUCCUAGUUCUGAAUUUAUGAAUGCAUAUCCUUCAUGGAUGCUCGGGAUUGCUGCAGGGUUUCCAAUUUGGAAUUUUGUUGCUGAAGCUUUACCGGUAGUUGCCCUGCUUUUAUUGGCAUUCUUGCUGCGUGAGGCCAUUACUGGAAGCUCUUCAAAGGGUAUUUGGAAGUAUAUUAUCAUGGGAACUAAUUUAAGUUAUAUACUAAUAGCAGUGCAUUGGGCUUCAGAAAGUGACAGAUUGAAUCUGGCUUGGGUGCUUAAAGGCACUGGAAGAAGUUAUAUUCCUAGACUAAUAUAUGCCAUUGGAUUUGGACAAUUGUUAUUAUUGACAUUUAAUCAGCUGUUCAGUAAAAGGAAAUCCUCAGAUCACAGCAAUCUCUUGUAUAUUAAAACAGUCGCCAUGUUUUCUGCAUGGAGCUCAACAAUCAUUAUUCUGUUGGGAAAACAGGGGCCCUGGACUUUUGCAUUCACCUUUCUGCAUGGCUUAAGUCUGUUCCACCUUUUGACAGGCCAAUGCAUAAUGAGGCUGGAUAACAUAGAACUGGAUGUCAAAGAUGGAGGCAGUUGGAAUAGGAUGCUUGAUCCUGUUCCUGUAACACAGUGGAGCCUUUUUGCUGUGUGCCUGUUUUUCUGCACUGGUCAUUGGUGUGCUUUUGAUGGCCUCCGAUAUGGUGCUGCAUUUGUUGGGUUUGAAGAGUUCCUCCUAGUUCCCCAAACAAUCCUUCUUACAAUGGACACAUUUGGUUUUUCUCUCAUCCUUCCAAUAUUUGGAGUUCCAUUUCUUGUCGCACGCUUGGGUCAGAGCGAGAAAGGGAAGAAUUUCAUACUCACGCGACUAUAUCUGGUGUACAUGAUUUAUGGGCUCAUCAUGGCAACUUCAGUCACAGCCACCAUAAUUUGUGUUACGAUGCAUAGGUGGCAUUUAAUGGUAUGGGGUUUAUUUGCUCCCAAGGGUCUGAUCCUCACAGAUAUGCUCGUUUGUUUGGCCUCACAUUACUAUUUCAGUCAAGUAGAAGACGAUGCCCUACAACAUCUGUCUACCAAAAAACAAAAAACCCUACAUGUUAUCAACUCCAAAAUUUUGUCUACAUUUGUUAUUGAAUAUUGUAGCAAAUUCAUGUGAGGUAAAUUAGAAAUCUGCAUCGAAAAUUUUGCUGUAACUUCACAACCAAAUGCUGGCAUUAUUAGAAAGGAAUAUUGUGUAAUAUUUA